RNAcentral lists this ribosomal RNA (175 nucleotides) under uncultured Pelotomaculum sp. Its description in RNAcentral is "partial 16S ribosomal RNA". It matches the Rfam family "Bacterial small subunit ribosomal RNA", at positions 335 to 524 of the family's 1533-position model. The record is from RNAcentral. Lineage: Bacteria; Bacillati; Bacillota; Clostridia; Eubacteriales; Desulfotomaculaceae.
ACUCCUACGGGAGGCAGCAGUGGGGAAUCUUCCGCAAUGGGCGAAAGCCUGACGGAGCAACGCCGCGUGAAUGAUGAAGGCCUUCGGGUUGUAAAAUUCUGUCUUCAGGGAAGAAACAAAUGACGGUACCUGAGGAGGAAGCCCCGGCUAACUACGUGCCAGCAGCCGCGGUAAU